Molecule: ribosomal RNA, 252 nt
Filed under: uncultured bacterium
Lineage: Bacteria
Description: partial 16S ribosomal RNA
Rfam family: Bacterial small subunit ribosomal RNA
Source: RNAcentral
ACGAAGGGGGCUAGCGUUGUUCGGAAUUACUGGGCGUAAAGCGCAUGCAGGCGGAUCGCUAAGUCAGGGGUGAAAGCCCGAGGCUCAACCUCGGAACUGCCUUUGAUACUGGCGAUCUUGAGUCCGGGAGAGGUGAGUGGAACUCCGAGUGUAGAGGUGAAAUUCGUAGAUAUUCGGAAGAACACCAGUGGCGAAGGCGGCUCACUGGCCCGGUACUGACGCUGAGAUGCGAAAGCGUGGGGAGCAAACAGG